AUUCAACGCCUGAAAUAUAAUUCCGUUGACUAAAUUAAGCUGCUUCACCUGUUUCUUCUUCUUCUUCUUCUUCUUUUCUCUCUCCCUCUUUCCCAAUGGACCCAUCUCCAGAUUGCUCUCCUCCCCCUUCUUUGACAUUUCCUCCUCUCUUUCCAAUUCAGUUGGGUAGAACAACAACAAAGACAUCAACAAGACUCGGUCAUCUCUCUGUGUUUCUCUUCCUAUCCCUUUUUGUGCUCCUGUCAUUGCAUGUGAUCAGAUCAAAGCAGUAUGGGGAAUUUUUGCGCUAGGCCAGCAAAGUGCGCCCAUGCUUCUUCCAACAACUUCCCUACCCCUCCUGGAAGUACAAAGCACACUAACAAGGAACAUCACAAUUUAGCAUCCUCCAACCAGGAUAGGCCAUUGGUGGGUACGAAAACUAAAGCUCUGAUAGAAACCAAUGUCGCUGAUACAUGUGUUCCUAGCACCCUUAAGUCCUUCAGUUUCAUUGAUCUGAAGAAUGCUACAAAAAACUUCCGCCCGGAUAGCCUACUUGGAGAAGGAGGGUUUGGGUGGGUCUUCAAAGGCUGGAUUGAUGCUACCACCUUAGCUCCCACUAGACCAGGGACUGGCUUGGUGGUGGCUAUCAAGAGGCUUAAGCAGGAAAGCUUUCAAGGUCACAAGGAAUGGCUGGCAGAAGUCAACUAUCUUGGUCAGUUUCACCAUGAAAAUCUCGUUAAACUAAUAGGCUACUGCUCAGAAUCUGACAAUAGACUUCUUGUUUACGAGUUUAUGCCUAAAGGAAGCUUGGAGAAUCAUUUGUUUAGGAAAGGUGUACAGCCUAUACCAUGGGCUAUGCGAAUGAGUGUUGCAGUUGAUGUUGCAAGGGGGUUGUCCUUUUUGCAUAGCUUAAAUGCUAAUGUUAUCUACCGUGACUUGAAGGCUUCCAACAUUCUACUUGAUUCAGAUUUCAGUGCAAAGCUAUCAGAUUUUGGCUUAGCAAGGGACGGUCCUACUGGAGACAACACUCAUGUUUCAACCAGAGUCGUGGGAACUCGAGGCUACGCUGCCCCAGAAUAUGUCGCUACAGGUCACUUGACACCGAAGAGUGAUGUGUACAGCUUCGGUGUAGUUCUGUUAGAGCUACUAUCAGGAAGACGAGCGAUGGAUGAUGAGAGAGCUAGGAGUGUGGAAGAAACACUGGUGGAUUGGGCAAAGCCAUUUUUGAGUGAUAGUAAACGAGUUCUAAGAAUCAUGGACACAAGAUUGGGGGGUCAAUACCCUAAAAAAGCCGCCCAAGCUGCAGCCGCACUUGCUUUACAGUGUCUUCAUACAGAUCCAAAGAAUAGGCCACUCAUGAUUGAUGUUCUAGCAACAUUGGAACGACUCCACUCAAAGGAAACACUACGAACUCAACAACCUAUGCUAGACCCUCGUGGGGUUACGCGUUCGAACCAUCUCUCAAGAUAACUGGUUCAAAUACAAACAUUGAGUGAAUUGUAUCAUUUGUAUGUGGUUUUCUAGUACAGGGAAAAAUUAUGUUCAGGUUGCUUUUGCCGCAUAAUUUAGCAAAACAAAAGUUUUCCUUCUAGAACUGCCCGGCAAGAAUUCUGUGUUCGAAACAAUUGCUGCAGCUACAUGUGUGAUAAAUGGAUCGGCUUGAGUCGAACUAGCACCCUACUGCUCUGCCAUCUCCGACACAAAAUGAGCAUCAGCCUGGACAUUUACAUGGCUAACGACAAUUUCACAGCCCCUCAAGACUUAUUAAUUUCUGUGCCAUUUUCAAUACAAGCCUCACAUCUCUGUCCGCAUGUUCCAACCCCUGUAACUCCACUCCAUCAAAUAAUGUUUUGUGGAUGUACAAGAAGUUUAAGUAUCUUGGCAAGGUAAGCUCCUCCAAACCGAUCAAACUCAUCGGUCUUUGACUCAGAAUACGACUGAGUAUCACUGAGGCCAUACUUCUGAGUUCUGACAACUGUCCCUGAAGAAAUUAUAUUUCUUCAUUACAUUCACAUUUUCCCAGUCCUCAUCUCUCCAUACGUUU
Molecule: RNA transcript, 2023 nt
Organism: Argentina anserina (silverweed cinquefoil)
Lineage: Eukaryota; Viridiplantae; Streptophyta; Magnoliopsida; Rosales; Rosaceae
Gene name: probable serine/threonine-protein kinase PBL3
Exons: 7
Source: RefSeq, a predicted model, not a curated record